Molecule: long non-coding RNA, 491 nt
Filed under: Bos taurus (domestic cattle)
Lineage: Eukaryota; Metazoa; Chordata; Mammalia; Artiodactyla; Bovidae
Description: long non-coding RNA NONBTAT030548
Source: RNAcentral
AACCUCUGAAUUUCUGCUCAGCUCUGUUCUCCAGUUUCCUGGAGUCUAACUUGCCCUGUGUUCAUACAACUCAGGACCAAGGAUCUGAGAAGUUUCUAUAGAUUCACUAUUGGAUGCAUUUUUAAUGAGAUGUAUAUGCAAGAAGCAGAUACUGCUCUGAUGUGAGGAAAAAAGUUUUGUAAUAGUAUGUGUUUACUGUCUUGAAGAACUCCCUCCUCUGUGAUAUAUUUAAUGCUGAGUAUCUUUUAACAGGACCAUUCUCCAAAAUUUAAUUUUUUUCUUUUGCUUUUUUGGGUCUUUAAGUAAUAGAUUGAAGGAAAGUAAAUAAAAUACCUAAGAUUAUGCAUUUACAUUAUUUCUCAUAUUGAUGAGUUGUUUAAGUGGCCUGUGGGUCAACUUACAUGCAAUUAGAGCAAAUAGUGGAACUAUUGUCAUUUUUAUUAUCAUCUUUCCCUUCCUCAUUACUGUUAUUUAAAAUAAAGUCUCUAUUU